This 558-nucleotide ribosomal RNA is filed under the name Triticum aestivum (bread wheat). RNAcentral describes it as "partial small subunit ribosomal RNA". The record is from RNAcentral. Lineage: Eukaryota; Viridiplantae; Streptophyta; Magnoliopsida; Poales; Poaceae.
AUGUUUGGUUCCCAAAAGUACACAGAGAGAGAUUAUUUUGGGUCUUGGAUGGCCAUAAUUCAGGUUGCACACAGCCUGAAACAAAAACCUCCGCCACUCUAUAAACAGAUGUCAUUCUGGGGCUCCAGCACCAGAACUUAUUGCUACUCACCGAUUGAACAAUUGGAUAGCAGGGGUGGGGAUCAGAAGAUGAUGUCUUCGUCCUUGUCUCCGCCGCCGACGAGUAUGUUGGUGGCGCCCCCGAUGGAGACGCCCCUCUUGAGGGCGAGAUCCUCGGCGAGCUGCUCCUCGGCGAAGAGCUUGGCCCACGACGUGGCGCACGCCGUCGCCGGCCACGUACUUGGCCUCGGCGAGCGAGAAGGAGGAGGCGCGCAUGGCCUCGCCCAUGGACUCCUUGGUGGCGACGAUCUUCUUGAGGAUGGCGCGGAACUGCACCGUGAGCGCGUCCGACUUCUUCUUGAGCAGCGCGUGGCCCCGCGUCGCGCCGAUCAGCCGCGCCUUCACCACCCCCAGCAUCGUCACCGUCGGCACCACGUUCAGGCGCUGGCUCUGCCCUGA